AGUAAUAGACAGCCUCGUCCUCAGCUUGGACCCCAUCGAUGGUUAAUGUGCCCGUGGAGCCGGAGUAGGAACCGGAGAAUCGUGAAGGGAUGUCUGAGGGUCUCUCGGUGUUAUCAUAGAUCACAGUGACAAGGGCACUGCCAGGUGACUUCUGCUGGUACCAG
Long non-coding RNA from Lagopus muta (rock ptarmigan), 164 nucleotides. RefSeq lists it as uncharacterized. NCBI's taxonomy places the organism in Eukaryota, Metazoa, Chordata, Aves, Galliformes, Phasianidae. The transcript has 3 exons. The record is from RefSeq and is a predicted model, not a curated record.